This is a non-coding RNA of Ictidomys tridecemlineatus (thirteen-lined ground squirrel), 5037 nucleotides long. NCBI's taxonomy places the organism in Eukaryota, Metazoa, Chordata, Mammalia, Rodentia, Sciuridae. The record is from RefSeq and is a predicted model, not a curated record.
CAUGCAGAUGCUGAGCGUGGGUCCCCGCAGAGCCGUGAAGAUUGAUCCUAGUACACAGACCACCAGGAGGUCACCGUCCCCACCCCUCAGAAGGCCCUGCACCCCUAACCCAUAAACACCCCCUAACCCGCCCUGGGGAGGUCGACUGGGGGCUUGGGACCCCUUUUCCAUGCUUGAACGCCUUUGGAACACAUAACUCUGCCAAAUUCAACACUUCAGUGAGAGGCACACCACACAGCAGGCAGGAGGGGACUGGUUCAGUCACAGCUGCAGGGAAGACAGGGACAGGGACAGGGAGUGGGAUCAGUAAGUUGUGUGCAGGUUCUUGAAGGAUCAGCCCGGCAGAGUCCUGAUUCUGUGAGAGUCAAGCCAAAAUGGCUCCAUUUUGUUUUGUGACUCCAUUCUGUAAAACAACCAGGCCAAGUAGAAGGGUCCUGACUGGGGCAAGAUGUUCUUUUCCUUUUGCUAUAGAAACCAGAACACAGAACUACAUAAUGGGGCACUGUUUCUGUAACUAGGGAAACGGGGCUCUGUUUCUGAAACUGGGGUGACUGGGCUAACUGUGGUUGACUAAGCGUCCCUUUGCCUACUGCACUGUCCCGCUUCUGUAACUUGGCUGGCUUGCAUUUGGACCCCUAAAUGUCCCUUUUGCGGUUUUCAGGCUUAUAAGGAGCGCCCUUGCAAUUGUUUGGGGCUGAUCAGGGGAACAGUCAGCCGCCACCAGAGUGCUUCAAUAAAGGCUUGAUUCGAUUAUACGUGAGUGGUCUGGAAGUCAGUUUAUGACACCCCGGGAAGGGACUUUAACUGCAACAAUACCACAGAAAUGGACGAUAAAGCCAGGAGAUGGUGGGCAGGGAUGGGGACAUGCAGCCAAGACUGAGGAGGAAUCACAGGUUAGUAAUGACAAAGCCUGGGGCAGGGCUAGAAAGUUCCAGUAGAACCACCUGUGAUGUUGGAAAUAACCUCAUCUACAGCAGCCAAAACGGCAGCAUGGAGCCACUCGCACUUGAAACUGUAGCUGGUACAACUAAGAAGCCAAAUGUUUACCUAUCCUUAACUGUAAUUUGGCUAAACCUCAAUAGCCCCAAGUGGCUGGUGACUACCAUACUGGGCAGAGCAGGUCUGGGUUCUUAUGCACCAUUUGGAUGUGGGGUUUGGGGAUGAGGAGGGAGGGUCUUUGAAAGAGAGGGAUUCAGGGAACUAGAAAAAUCCUGGCUGGAAGAGUCAACUGUAUGUACUGAAGUCACAAGGGAUUAAGCUGGAUCCCUGAUGGAGAGAGACCCUGAGCCAGGAGACAAAGUCACGGAGAAAUGGGGCGUCAGGAGAGAACGGCAAUAAGAGGAAGAGAAGCGGGGAGUCUGUCGACAGGAGCCUCAGAGCUGAGCAGGUUGGGCAGCUCCAGGACGGAAGGUAUAAGUAAGCUAAAGAGCUCAAGAUGAGAAAUCCCUGUUGUAGGGCUGGCACUACCCAGGGUCUGGUGCUCUUAGAGAGGAGGUGAGGAGACACAGACAGAAGUUCAUGAAGACGGGGCCAGACACCAGAGUGAUGCUGGCACAUCUGAGGGACACCUGAGGCCACCAGAGGCUGGGAGAGUCACCAGGCUUUUGGCGAUGUGUUACCAGGAAACUGACCAAGCUGACUCAUCAACCCAGCACAAGCCUGCCUGACCAACACCAUCACUUCCAACCCGAAGCACACAGUCAGUCCAGAAGAAUAGCAUAAGGAAAGCUCCAGAGACCCGCCAGUGAGGAUGUGCGUUGGUGACCCCCAUCCCAUGCUCAGCAGAGGAGAUGGUCUGCAGAAAACUCAGGGGCUGGACCCAGCAGCACUUGCCCUGUCACUGGGACCACCGGGCCAGGUCCCAGGACCCUUGGCACAUCGAGUGGGGUGUGAGUCCUUUGGGUAGGGCUGAUAGCACAGCGGGAAGCAGUACCAGCAUUCCGGUAUGUGUCUGGGUGUGUGUGUGUGUGUGUGUGUGUGUGUGUGUGUGUGUGUGUGACAGAUAUAGAUAUAUAUCUGUCUUCCUGAAAUGUCAUAGGGCCAUGUGAGGGCAGCAGCCAUUGUUCUUUAAUGGCCCAACUGCCACCACUAAAAGCCCAGGUCAGGCACUCCUUGCUAGUUAAUGACUCUGCUGAUCCCAUAAGCUAUAAAGGGUUGAUGAUUGAACUCCAUAACCCUUUGGAACUCUUGCAUAAGGGGGAAAAAAAAACACCUUAACCAAACUCAGAGAGCACAUGCCAAGUGAUUCAGGUUUUUUGAAAUGCUUGACCAUGUAAAUAAGAGCCGUUUCUUCACUGUACAAAGAACCUUCACAAACCAGCAAGGAGCCGCCCCAGGUGGGAAGAACCAGCCCUGGAACCCUUAGUGCACACAAAUCGGCCUAUAAGCAUGGGAAAAGACCGUAAACUGCUCGCAAUUAAAGACACUAAGACAAAAAUAAUGAGUUACUUUCAAUAUUGGCAUAUUUUUAAAUUUAAGCAUGGGAAACAGAAGUUUGCUCACUCACUGCGGGCUAGAAUACAAGAACAUCUGAGGAGGGAUUCGGUUCCAUACAUUUUAAGAACACAAAUUAACACUGCUUAAAUCCUUAAAAUAUUGUGGAAAAACCUACCUUCUGGAUCUCUGCAUAAAUCACAAUAAUGUCUGUACAAAAAUAUUCAGGAUAGCAUUAUUUGUAAUAGCAAAUAAGUACAAUCUACCCCCAAGAUGUAUAUAGUACAAGCCUGGAGAUGUCAGUUUAGUAAUGCUAUCUGGGUUUUCAGAAGAAUAAGAAAACUCUGUAGAUGCUCUGUGGAAAGACUCUCCAUGUUGGACAGAUUCACAGAGACAGGAAAAGAGAGGAGGGAGGGGGAGAGAGAGACCACAGGCAUCUGCAGCCCCAGCAGCUCUGGAGAGGCCCCGGGGGGCCCCCAGCUGGGACCUUGGAAGGUUUAGUACCCUAAUAAUGCUUCACCAAGUUAAUUGCCCUUCCCAAGUUUCUCAGGGCAACUCUUCACCAAUUGAUAUGGCCCCGAAUGAGGGAGACAGUGCUACAGCCCAGAACCCCCACAGGUCCCCACAGCUGCCCUGUGCCAGCACACAGGGAACUGGCCUGAUUCACAGAGAUAGGAGGGAGUGGGGCACAGAGGCACCGGAAGGCAAUUAGGAGCCACUGGGCCUGGUGGAACCAGGGCUUUCUGGGCACUGAGGCUGCAUCUUCCCAGGCUCCUCCCCUCCCCUGCCCAGUGGGUCCAGUUCUCUCCACCAGAGGCUUGCUCAAGGUCGCACAGCCGUGGAGCAGAGGGCCAGGGAGCCCUGCCGUUGGAGGCUGCAUGAAAAACCACACAAGCCCCUGGCAGAUCUCACCUCUGUGGCUUUAAGGAACCCAAAACCAAGCCACCCACUGGAAGAUGCCCCCCAAACUUCCACUGCUCUCAUCUUGACCUGAAGAUCCCCAAGAAGCUCUGCCUUGGGAUCCCCGUGACCACAGCUCAGGGGCGUCAGACCCAGCCAGGCAGCAGCCAAAGGAACUGGUUCACCUCAAGCAAAAGCGGCUGGUAGAAGUGUCCAGAUGCACACUCCUUCAGAGGGAAGAGAAGGUCCCUCCAUCCCCAGGGCAGGAUGCGGCUGAGUCUAGAAGUUGGUACCAACAUCUGAACAACGUCAUCCACCAGCCAAGAGUCGGUGGCUCUCAUUGUGACUACAGUUCUUCAAACGCAUUCUAUGCUGAGGCAACAUUUUCCAAAGAAACACCUGCAGGGCCUGAUUAGCUCAGCCAUAACUGAGCCAUCCAGCGGAGUCCUAUGUGCAGGAAGCCACGCUAACUGUGACUGUCACAGUGCCCUAAGACCAAACAUGAAUUAUCUCCUUUAAUUCUCACAACUCUACAAAGUAUUACUUUAUCCCUGUUCAAGAACUGAAGAAUCGCCCCCAAAAAGGUGGAACGCGCUUGGAAAAGGAGGAGAGAGAGAUCACAAAGCCUGGGAUUUUUACCAUCACAACCUCCAAAGCAGCUGCUGACCUAAACUGUCACUAAUCCUCCCAACCACGCGUCCCCCCUUCCCUAGAAUCCUCCUGCCUGGAGCCUCUGUUUGGGCUCACUAUUUCCAGGCCCAGACAUUUUUACAACCUGGGAUCACUUUGUCUUGAAUUUUUAAGAUUCAAUGACUUAUCAGUUGACAAUGAGCAAGAUGACUGUUGUGACAGCUUCAGAGACCAUGCAUCGUGUGUGUGUGUGUGUGUGUGUGUGUGUGUGUGUGUGUGUGUGUGCAUGUGUGGGGGUGCUGGGGAUUAAACCCAGGGCCUUGUGCAUGCAAGGCAGGCCCUCCACCAACUGAGCCAUGACCCCAGAGACCUGCACCUGGAAGCAACAUGCCGUUUACCUCCGGCUUCAUUUCUGUGCAGGAAGCAGAUGGCAAAGCCAGCAGCUGACCAGCAGCAGCACCGUGCUCUAGCCACCAUUGCUGGCUCUGAGACAGGCUCCCAGGACAGGGCAGCUCUUAUGCCCUUCCAGACACCCCAGCCGCUCUGGUCACCGGGCCCUUUGAAGAACAUGUGGAGAGAGCCGAUCCGGAGCUCUGAAGGCGCCAUGCAGGAGCCUGCAGCUGCAGCGAGGGCACAGCCAAGGACAGGAGGCCCAAGUUACAGGGACAUUCGCCAGCCUUGCCUGCAUCUCAUUCAUCUGUUCACAAAACAAUUUUUGCUGGGAAGGGGCCACUUACAUUCUCCCUGGUGAGUCCUCGGCCUGAAGGUCUGCCGUGGCCACCGCCACACCAGCGGCUUUCCUGCGCCCUCUCGAAUACAGUAGAGGCUUUGUUGUGAGAAUUAGCCUCCCAGCCAAGUGCAAAGGCUCGGGAGCCACUGGGUGGAUGGCGAUGCUGUUACCAUGGUUACCAGGCUCGCCCUCCACGGUGGGUCCGUGCACCUCGCCAUGAAAGCUUGGACUGGGGGGGGCGGGGGUGGUGGAAUACAGCUUCAAUUUGAGCCACAUGCUAAUAAGUUGGCCUGUAUGGCCAGUUGCUGAUGUCGAAUAUAAAACAAUCAUUUUGGAAAAGAAAA